RNAcentral lists this ribosomal RNA (317 nucleotides) under Trichoderma asperellum. Its description in RNAcentral is "partial large subunit ribosomal RNA". It matches the Rfam family "Eukaryotic large subunit ribosomal RNA", at positions 46 to 358 of the family's 3401-position model. Lineage: Eukaryota; Fungi; Ascomycota; Sordariomycetes; Hypocreales; Hypocreaceae. The record is from RNAcentral.
UUUGGGGGAAGAACAACAGGGAUUGCCCCAGUAACGGCGAGUGAAGCGGCAACAGCUCAAAUUUGAAAUCUGGCCCCUCCGGGUCCGAGUUGUAAUUUGUAGAGGAUGCUUUUGGUGAGGUGCCGCCCGAGUUCCCUGGAACGGGACGCCACAGAGGGUGAGAGCCCCGUCUGGCUGGCCACCGAGCCUCUGUAAAGCUCCUUCGACGAGUCGAGUAGUUUGGGAAUGCUGCUCAAAAUGGGAGGGAUAUGUCUUCUAAAGGUAAAUAUUGCCCGGAGAGCGAUGGCGCUCCACUAAAGGGGUCCGCAGAUCUUGCG